GGGAAUUAUUUAAUAUUUUUUACUAAUAUUAAUUUCAAUCAAAUUAGUCUUAAUUUAAACAUUUUUAUUUUUAUUUUUAAUUCUUUUCCUAUAUUUCUCUCUUUUCAGGUACCAUAGAUGACUUUGCAUAUCAAUGGCCAUACACGAACAUGACUCAACCAAGGGAAGCGAGGAUUGAUGGUCUCAAUGCAUUUUCUGCAUUAUCAGCGCAGCUUGAGACACUUUUGAGGAGGUUGAACGUUGUUACAGCCCAACGUAAUCGAAGGAUAGCAGUUACUUGCAAUUAUUGUGUUGGUAAUCAUCUGAGUCAUCAAUGAACCGUUAGUUUUGGGUUGGGACAACAUGGUGGUGAAUACCUCAACGAUUAUACAUAUGCUAAUUAUCAUCAAGUUUGGGGGUAUCACCCGGAUUCGUCAUGGAGCUAUACUUAUGAAGACCAAUACUACGCUCCAAAUCCAAUAUACACACCAGAAUUUUCAUGUAAACCUCCAUUGCCACAAGAAGAAAAGUCAAAUUUGGAGGAAUUACUGUCAAAGCUCAUAGCAAACCAAGAGGAGAGGAUGAUGAGUCAAGAAAUAUCGAGCCACAAUUUUCAGCACCAGAUGAAACAACUCAUCACCACUUCAACCCAUGGUCCUCAAUACAUGGAUUCCAAAACUGAGACAGAUAAUUCAAGGUUGGAGGAAUUGUUGUCCAAGUUCAUAGCAUCAAAUCGGGAGAAAAGGAUUAAUCAAGAGCGGUCAAUUCAGAAUCAAGAGAUAUCAAUUCAAAAUCUACAAAACCAGAUGGAUCAAAUGCUCAAAGCCUUGAACAACUGUCCUCAAAACAAUUG
Molecule: long non-coding RNA, 832 nt
Filed under: Panax ginseng (ginseng)
Lineage: Eukaryota; Viridiplantae; Streptophyta; Magnoliopsida; Apiales; Araliaceae
Description: long non-coding RNA (PGIN_LNC017937)
Source: RNAcentral